Molecule: ribosomal RNA, 253 nt
Filed under: uncultured bacterium
Lineage: Bacteria
Description: partial 16S ribosomal RNA
Rfam family: Bacterial small subunit ribosomal RNA
Source: RNAcentral
UACGUAGGGUGCAAGCGUUAAUCGGAAUUACUGGGCGUAAAGCGUGCGCAGGCGGUUUUGUAAGUCUGACGUGAAAUCCCCGGGCUUAACCUGGGAAUUGCGUUGGAGACUGCAAGGCUAGAAUCUGGCAGAGGGGGGUAGAAUUCCACGUGUAGCAGUGAAAUGCGUAGAGAUGUGGAGGAACACCGAUGGCGAAGGCAGCCCCCUGGGUCAAGAUUGACGCUCAUGCACGAAAGCGUGGGGAGCAAACAGG